RNAcentral lists this ribosomal RNA (510 nucleotides) under uncultured bacterium. RNAcentral describes it as "partial 16S ribosomal RNA". It matches the Rfam family "Bacterial small subunit ribosomal RNA", at positions 28 to 507 of the family's 1533-position model. The record is from RNAcentral.
GACGAACGCUGGCGGCGUGCUUAACACAUGCAAGUCGAACGAAGAGCGAUGGAAGCUUGCUUCUAUCAAUCUUAGUGGCGAACGGGUGAGUAACGCGUAAUCAACCUGCCCUUCAGAGGGGGACAACAGUUGGAAACGACUGCUAAUACCGCAUACGAUCUAAUCUCGGCAUCGAGGAUAGAUGAAAGGUGGCCUCUACAUGUAAGCUAUCACUGAAGGAGGGGAUUGCGUCUGAUUAGCUAGUUGGAGGGGGAACGGCCCACCAAGGCGAUGAUCAGUAGCCGGUCUGAGGGGAUGAACGGCCACAUUGGGACUGAGACACGGCCCAGACUCCUACGGGAGGCAGCAGUGGGGAAUCUUCCGCAAUGGACGAAAGUCUGACGGAGCAACGCCGCGUGAGUGAUGACGGCCUUCGGGUUGUAAAGCUCUGUUAAUCGGGACGAAAGGCCUUCUUGCGAAUAGUGAGAAGGAUUGACGGUACCGGAAUAGAAAGCCACGGCUAACUACGUG